ACUUUCAUUAAACAUCAAAAUCACUUUUAAGAUCAACACAAAAGCUAUAUCUAUGGUCCAUUAACAUCAGUUACCAACUAUAUAUAUAAUGUAAUUCCAAUACUUAAUUGGCCACACAAAUUUCUAACCAAUUAAAUCAACUUUGUAUAGAAAGUUAGACACUCUAACCAUAUAUUAACUUAUAGUUAUCCUUUUUCUUGAUCUAACUUGCAUAACAUUAUAAAGGCAUACAUACACAUACACACACAUUUUGAGAGAGAGAUGGGAUAUAUAUGUAUUAACCAUGGUUAGGAGUGGAGGGUUUGGAUCUUUGAAGACCAAGAGAGGCAAGGUUGCAAUUUGCUCUUCUUCCGUCGAUCACCGGAGUAGCGUCCACACAAGCCUUGCUCGCCGCAUCUGCCUCCUUGAAUGUCACCUGAUCACACAACUGUACUAAUUAGUUCCCCCUUUGAGUAGGAGAGUUCUGAUUGAAGAACCUCCAUGGGAGAUGAUCUUAGUGCCUUAUUUUCUCAUUGUAUAUCUGAACAACACGUAUUAUAUAGUUGGUCAAAUUUAAGCUACGGUUGUAGUUGAAUCUGCACUCGUGAUUCACACUUAAUCACUUGCAAGGGCUGACCUAAGACAAGAAGAGGUGUGUCAUAUGCCCACCCUAAUUAGUUAAUUUUCAUUAAUAAUUAGUGUUUAAACUUAUUGAAGUAUCUCUAGGUUAAACAUUAGUUAUAAGAAUGCCCCAUACUAGAAACAAUUAAAGAUCGCAUAGUCGUGUCUAGAUUUCUAGAGGUUUUGGGUAAUUAUCUGUGGCUUUUAGAUUUGAGGAUUUUUCUGGUUAAUUCUUUGUUUCUUUGCUCUUUCUUUUAUUAAUGCAAACAUAUGCUUUUAAUUUAGAUUUACAGUUGUCUCUUCUUCUAUUUUUGCCAACCAGAUAAAACUACAGUUCUUUUUGGAUGCAUUAUUCAUUUUUACAUUAUAUGACUUUAAAACAUAAGAAGAUAUUUUUUCACAAAAUUUAAACUUCGUAUAUAGCAUCCUUUUGAGUGAAUCAGGAGUGAUAAAAGUUGAUUUCUAUGCUGCGUGCAUGUUAAUUCAACUUAUAUAUUUUACCUUUAGUUUUAAGAAAUACUUUUUAAUUUAAGAAAAUGAAGAAACUGAAAAAUCCAACCAUUCAAUCUCAAUAUACUUGUUAGAAAGUAAAACACUAAAUAUUUAAUUAACCAGUCCAAACCAUCUAAUAGAAAUAUGGUAUUUCUUGUACAAUUUAAUUUUGGUAGCCUAGAGCAAAUACCUCUAAUCUACUAAUUUAGAGUCAUAUAUUUUAUUUACUGUUGAAAAUUAUAGUAGGACCAUUUAAUUAAAUAAUUAAUGUGAAAUAUUUGAUUAUUUAUAUUAAAUUUUAAUAAUAAAUAAAUAUAAAUAAUAAAUAAUAUUAAUUAUAAUUUUGAAUUUUAUUUUUAGUUAUAACAAAAUCCUACUAAAAAAAUUAAUACUUUUUUUUAUAAAAUAAUGCAUUAUAAUUUCUUAAUUAGUAAUGUAAUCUUAUUAUAAAUUAAUGAUUACUAGAAUUUUAUCAUAAAACAUAUAAAAUUCUAUGAUAUUUUAUAAAUUUUAUUAUUAUAGUAUAUAUUAUAUUAAAAUAUACGUUCUCUAUAAAUUAAAUAUGAAAAACUUAUAUUAAAUUGCUAGAUUAACAGAUUUAAAAAACAAAAAUUGUUGCAUUUAAGUAAAUAAUCAUUCAUCGUCAAAAUGGGUUAAAAUUCUUACACUAUGUAAUAUUGAAUACAAAAAUUAAAACUAUUAACAUAUGUUAAACUUUUAUAUCUACAACUAUAUAAUAUCAUUUAUUUAUUUUGAAACACCCAAUAAUAUAUUUUAUAAAAAUAAUUAUAUUCAAAAUAUAAUAAGUAUAUAACUAACCUUUUAGUUCAUGUAUUAUUAUACAAUUAUGUUCCUAGAAAAAAAUUAAUUUUUAAUAGUUAGUUAAAAAUAAUAAUGACAAAUCAAUUUUACUUAUAAAUUUAAUGUUUAUUUUAAAUAUAACAAAAUCUGUUGAGAAAAUAUAAAAAACCUUACCAAAAAUUCAAAUAUAUUUUUACAAAAUAUUGAACUAAUUUAGUGACAAAAACAUAAUUUUCCUAACUAAAAAUGAUAAUUGUGUAAUUUUUCAAAUUUAUUUAACCAAGUAUACAAUUUUUAAAAUAAAUAUUAAGAACUCAAAAUGGUAAUAUUCCAAAUGCUAAAAUUUGUUUUUUGAAAUGUAACAUAAAAAAAUAAAUUAUGUUUGUAAAGAGAACUCAUAAAGAGAAAUCAAGAGAAGCCAAAAUAUGAAGUACAGAGAAAAAGAGACUGGCAUUUAGGUCGAUGGGAAAAUAUCUAUAAAGAGAACUCUUCCAUUUAUGAGUCUGUAAAGUUGACGACAAAAAAAAAAAAAAAAAAAAAAAAAGAGAACUCAUAAAGAAAUGGAAGAAUCACUCGGGCAAGCAAUAGCAUGCAACAUAUAUUUUACAUGACAAGAUUUUUUGGUGAAAUAAUAUCAGCAUUAAUAAUCUUUUGGUCAAAGCACAGGAUAAAUAUAUUUUCACCUUCUUCAUACGUUUAAAUUGAAUAAAUCCCAAAAAGACAUUUUCUAA
Molecule: long non-coding RNA, 2624 nt
Organism: Brassica rapa (field mustard)
Lineage: Eukaryota; Viridiplantae; Streptophyta; Magnoliopsida; Brassicales; Brassicaceae
Source: RefSeq, a predicted model, not a curated record